UACAGAGGGGGCAAGCGUUGUUCGGAAUUACUGGGCGUAAAGGGCGCGUAGGCGGCCUGUUAAGUCGAACGUGAAAUCCCCGGGCUCAACCCGGGAACUGCGUCCGAUACUGGCAGGCUUGAAUCCGGGAGAGGGACGUGGAAUUCCAGGUGUAGCGGUGAAAUGCGUAGAUAUCUGGAGGAACACCGGUGGCGAAGGCGGCAUCCUGGACCGGUAUUGACGCUGAGGCGCGAAAGCCAGGGGAGCAAACGGG
Molecule: ribosomal RNA, 253 nt
Filed under: uncultured bacterium
Lineage: Bacteria
Description: partial 16S ribosomal RNA
Rfam family: Bacterial small subunit ribosomal RNA
Source: RNAcentral